UACGUAGGGUGCAAGCGUUGUCCGGAAUUAUUGGGCGUAAAGAGCUCGUAGGCGGCUUGUCGCGUCGAAUGUGAAAUCUCAGGGCUCAACUCUGACAUUGCAUUCGAUACGGGCAGGCUAGAGUUCGGUAGGGGAGACUGGAAUUCCUGGUGUAGCGGUGAAAUGCGCAGAUAUCAGGAGGAACACCGGUGGCGAAGGCGGCACGCUGGACCUCUUCUGACGCUGAGGCGCGAAAGCCAGGGGAGCAAACGGG
This 253-nucleotide ribosomal RNA is filed under the name uncultured bacterium. Its description in RNAcentral is "partial 16S ribosomal RNA". It matches the Rfam family "Bacterial small subunit ribosomal RNA", at positions 524 to 776 of the family's 1533-position model. The record is from RNAcentral.